Molecule: transfer RNA, 74 nt
Filed under: Minisyncoccota bacterium
Lineage: Bacteria; Bacillati; Minisyncoccota
Description: tRNA-Met
Rfam family: tRNA
About the family: Transfer RNA (tRNA) molecules are approximately 80 nucleotides in length. Their secondary structure includes four short double-helical elements and three loops (D, anti-codon, and T loops).
Source: RNAcentral
GUCGGGGUAGCUCAGCUGGUUAGAGCACGCGCUUCAUAAGCGUGAGGUCGCGGGUUCGAGCCCCGCCCCCGACA